Molecule: ribosomal RNA, 476 nt
Filed under: uncultured soil bacterium
Lineage: Bacteria
Description: bacterial SSU rRNA
Rfam family: Bacterial small subunit ribosomal RNA
Source: RNAcentral
AGGAUGAACGCUGGCGGCGUGCUUAACACAUGCAAGUCGAACGAUGAAGCCGGAGCUUGCUCUGGUGGAUUAGUGGCGAACGGGUGAGUAACACGUGAGUAACCUGCCCUUGACUCUGGGAUAAGCGUUGGAAACGACGUCUAAUACCGGAUACGACGCGCGAAGGCAUCUUCUGCGCGUGGAAAGAAUUUCGGUCAAGGAUGGACUCGCGGCCUAUCAGCUAGUUGGUGAGGUAACGGCCCACCAAGGCGACGACGGGUAGCCGGCCUGAGAGGGUGACCGGCCACACUGGGACUGAGACACGGCCCAGACUCCUACGGGAGCAGCAGUGGGGAAUAUUGCACAAUGGGCGCAAGCCUGAUGCAGCAACGCCGCGUGAGGGACGACGGCCCUCGGUUGUAAACCUCUUUAGUAGGAAGAAGCGAAAGUGACGUACCUGCAGAAAAGCACCGGCUGACUACGUAGCCAGCAGCCGC